RNAcentral lists this transfer RNA (72 nucleotides) under Candidatus Pseudothioglobus singularis PS1. RNAcentral's name for it is "Candidatus Thioglobus singularis PS1 tRNA". It matches the Rfam family "tRNA". From Rfam's summary of the family: Transfer RNA (tRNA) molecules are approximately 80 nucleotides in length. Their secondary structure includes four short double-helical elements and three loops (D, anti-codon, and T loops). Lineage: Bacteria; Pseudomonadati; Pseudomonadota; Gammaproteobacteria; Pseudothioglobaceae (SeqCode). The record is from Rfam by way of RNAcentral.
UGGGAUGUCGCCAAGCGGUAAGGCAACGGGUUUUGAUCCCGUCAUUCGCAGGUUCGAAUCCUGCCAUCCCAG